This is a long non-coding RNA of Dromiciops gliroides (monito del monte), 585 nucleotides long. RefSeq lists it as uncharacterized. NCBI's taxonomy places the organism in Eukaryota, Metazoa, Chordata, Mammalia, Microbiotheria, Microbiotheriidae. The transcript has 3 exons. The record is from RefSeq and is a predicted model, not a curated record.
UCCCCCGUUCCCCCAGCUAGGCUGAGGGCGCCUGGCCCGGAGGUGGGGGUGGGAGACGGAGGUGACCUGGAGACGCCCCUGACACUCCGGAAAAGUGAGGGGAGGAGAAGGAAGUGAUGGGGGGGUGUAGGAGAAAGAGGGUGUCAGUGGGGACCCGCCCCCACUCAUACCCAGCCCCCCUCAACGGGGCAUCUGGCCAUACCUUAGGGGUCUGUGUGCCUACGUGUGUGGAUGGGACUACGUCCACCACUGGGAUGCGGACGCUGACUUAGGGUUGCCUGGGAUCUUCCGACUGAGUGAAUCCUUAAGGGGCAAGAGCUAGAGCAGAACUCAGACGGGCGUGUCUGGGGUGAGGAAGAAGAGGGUGUGGAGCCGCCAGGACCGGAGACCAGAGUCCUGCCCCUGAUUUUACCUUGGAGCUUUCUGUGGGACUUUGCGAGCCCUUCUAUGGGCUUCCGUGUCCUGCUCUGUGAAAAGACCCAGAGGACCACGGGAUUAGAGAAGGAUCGAGAGAGCUGGAAGGAGUCUUGGAGGUCACUGAGUGUGACCCCGUUGCUUUGGUUUCCUUCUCUAUAAAAAGAUAGG